This is a long non-coding RNA of Oncorhynchus tshawytscha (Chinook salmon), 274 nucleotides long. The record is from Ensembl. Lineage: Eukaryota; Metazoa; Chordata; Actinopteri; Salmoniformes; Salmonidae.
ACAGGUAACACACACACACACCAGUACUAUAUCAGCCAACAGCCCUACAGGUAACACACACACCAGUACUAUAUCAGCCAACAGCCCUACAGGUAACACACACACACACACACACCAGUACUAUAUCAGCCAACAGCCCUACAGGUAACACACACACACACACCAGUACUAUAUCAGCCAACAGCCCUACAGGUAACACACACACACACACACCAGUACUAUAUCAGCCAACAGCCCUACAGGUAACACACACACACACCAGUACUAUAUCAGC